RNAcentral lists this ribosomal RNA (335 nucleotides) under uncultured soil bacterium. Its description in RNAcentral is "bacterial SSU rRNA". It matches the Rfam family "Bacterial small subunit ribosomal RNA", at positions 26 to 387 of the family's 1533-position model. The record is from RNAcentral.
AGAACGAACGCUGGCGGCAUGCCUAAUACAUGCAAGUCGAACGAAGGCUUCGGCCUUAGUGGCGCACGGGUGCGUAACGCGUGGGAAUCUGCCCCUUGGUUCGGAAUAACAGUUGGAAACGACUGCUAAUACCGGAUGAUGACGAAAGUCCAAAGAUUUAUCGCCAAGGGAUGAGCCCGCGUAGGAUUAGCUAGUGGUGAGGUAAGGCUCACAAGGCGACGAUCCUAGCUGGUCUGAGAGGAUGAUCAGCCACACUGGGACUGAGACACGGCCCAGACUCCGUACGGGAGCAGGCAGGUAGGGAAUAUUGGACAAGUGGGACGAAAGCCGUAGAU